CAGAGUGAUUGCUAACUAGAUAGUCUUCUUUUUUCUUUUUCUUUUUUCUUUUUUUUCUUUUCUUUUCUAGGGAGUGUUAGUAUUUUUUUUUUCUUUCCAUUGUUUUAGUGUAAUCUUCAUUAUUAGUAGAGAAACCAAGGCAGCCCAAAGUAGGUUGAACGUGCUUUUUUUAUCGUUCUUGCCACUUGAAAAGGAGUUUAGGUUGGUUUAUCCAUUCUCGUAAGCUUGUAAAAGACAUGGUGGAAGGUAUGGGAAAUGAAAAUGAUUUUAAAGACAAACAAGAAAUGAGAGAAGAUCAUAACAAUGGAGAAGAUAUUGUAGAAUCAAGUUCGAGUUCGUCGUUUCUACCCGAUUUGAAUCUUCUAUUUGUGUUUCUAUCAUUGAUUUCUCCAAAUACAAAUGAAGAUUCAAAUGAUGGUAAUGGGGUAUCAAUGAAAAUGAAAGAGAUUGAAGAUAGCACGACAUAUAAUAUUGCAAAAUCGAGCAUAAGAAAAAAAGAUGUGAUUGAAGCCCAACAUGAAAGUCGUCGAAAAGUACCUCAAAGACUUCAUACAACAAUAAAAGAUCACAGGCAUGGAAGAAAAAUGUGAAUCAAUCAAUGGAGAGAGACGAAUGGAUAUUAAAAAGAGAUGGGAAUAACUAAUAUAGACAACCACUUUUAUAAAAGUUUUGGCACAAUCAACCCAUGAAGAAGAUAGCACAAGUGAUGUUGACAUUCUUCAUGUACAAUGACAUGUUUUUAUCAGUAAGAUAGGGCUAAUUUGCUCGUCAAACGAAAAAUUCGAUAUAACAGUCUUUGUAAUUUUUAUUUUUAAUAUAAAAAUGAAAUAUGAAAUUUUGAACUUUCAA
Long non-coding RNA from Cucumis sativus (cucumber), 849 nucleotides. RefSeq lists it as uncharacterized. The record is from RefSeq and is a predicted model, not a curated record. The transcript is spliced from 3 exons. Lineage: Eukaryota; Viridiplantae; Streptophyta; Magnoliopsida; Cucurbitales; Cucurbitaceae.